Molecule: ribosomal RNA, 746 nt
Filed under: uncultured Finegoldia sp.
Lineage: Bacteria; Bacillati; Bacillota; Tissierellia; Tissierellales; Peptoniphilaceae
Description: bacterial SSU rRNA
Rfam family: Bacterial small subunit ribosomal RNA
Source: RNAcentral
GACGAACGCUGGCGGCGUGCUUAACACAUGCAAGUCGAACGGGAUUUAGUAGACAGAAGCCUCGGUGGAAGAUUACUAAUGAGAGUGGCGAACGGGUGAGUAACGCGUGAGCAACCUGCCUAUGACAGUGGGAUAGCCUCGGGAAACCGGGAUUAAUACCGCAUAAAAUCGUAGAAACACAUGUUUCAACGGUCAAAGAUUUAUCGGUCAUAGAUGGGCUCGCGUCUGAUUAGCUAGUUGGUGAGAUAACAGCCCACCAAGGCGACGAUCAGUAGCCGGUCUGAGAGGAUGAACGGCCACAUUGGAACUGAGACACGGUCCAAACUCCUACGGGAGGCAGCAGUGGGGAAUAUUGCACAAUGGGGGAAACCCUGAUGCAGCGACGCCGCGUGAACGAAGAAGGUAUUCGUAUCGUAAAGUUCUGUCCUAUGGGAAGAUAAUGACAGUACCAUAGAAGAAAGCUCCGGCUAAAUACGUGCCAGCAGCCGCGGUAAUACGUAUGGAGCGAGCGUUGUCCGGAAUUAUUGGGCGUAAAGGGUACGCAGGCGGUUUAAUAAGUCGAAUGUUAAAGAUCGGGGCUCAACCCCGUAAAGCAUUGGAAACUGAUAAACUUGAGUAGUGGAGAGGAAAGUGGAAUUCCUAGUGUAGUGGUGAAAUACGUAGAUAUUAGGAGGAAUACCAGUAGCGAAGGCGACUUUCUGGACACAAACUGACGCUGAGGUACGAAAGCGUGGGGAGCAAACAGG